UACGUAGGGUGCAAGCGUUGUCCGGAAUUACUGGGCGUAAAGCGCACGUAGGCGGCUUUGUAAGUUAGAGGUGAAAGCCCGGAGCUCAACUCCGGAACUGCCUUUAAGACUGCAUCGCUUGAAUCAUGGAGAGGUCAGUGGAAUUCCGAGUGUAGAGGUGAAAUUCGUAGAUAUUCGGAAGAACACCAGUGGCGAAGGCGACUGACUGGACAUGUAUUGACGCUGAGGUGCGAAAGCGUGGGGAGCAAACAGG
Molecule: ribosomal RNA, 253 nt
Filed under: uncultured bacterium
Lineage: Bacteria
Description: partial 16S ribosomal RNA
Rfam family: Bacterial small subunit ribosomal RNA
Source: RNAcentral